UGGCAUGAGGUUGAUCUGGCUACAUUGUCUGUCAUCCUACUGAUCACCAGGGUUGAGUCAGCUGAUCUGGCUGGCUGGGUGGGAGUUCCUUCCCUCCCUCACCACUCCAUGUGUGUCCCUCCCCCAAACUGCACAUGGGGUCAAAGUGGACUACCUCCCCCAAUAGAGGAGGAUCAUUCUUUGGUCAAGGGCAUAGGAACAGCUGUGCUCCCCUGCUAGAACCUUCCAACAAGCUCUCAAAGUCUAUUUGUAGGAGAACAUAGGAUAGUCAGACUUCCAAGACUCCAGACACAUUCAAAUGAGGUGCUGCACCUGGCAGUCUGGCUUUCCUA
This 332-nucleotide small nuclear RNA is filed under the name Vulpes vulpes (red fox). Its description in RNAcentral is "7SK RNA (ENSVVUG00000022252.1)". It matches the Rfam family "7SK RNA". From Rfam's summary of the family: 7SK was discovered as an abundant small nuclear RNA in the mid-70s but a possible function has only recently been suggested. Two independent studies have found that 7SK RNA binds the CDK9/cyclin T complex (known as elongation factor P-TEFb). The record is from Rfam by way of RNAcentral. Lineage: Eukaryota; Metazoa; Chordata; Mammalia; Carnivora; Canidae.